GAUGAACGCUGGCGGCGUGCUUAACACAUGCAAGUCGAACGAAGCGAUUUGAAUGAAGUUUUCGGAUGGAUUUUAAAUUGACUGAGUGGCGGACGGGUGAGUAACGCGUGGGUAACCUGCCCCAUACAGGGGGAUAACAGUUAGAAAUGACUGCUAAUACCGCAUAAGACCACAGCGCCGCAUGGUGCAGGGGUAAAAACUCCGGUGGUAUGGGAUGGACCCGCGUCUGAUUAGCUAGUUGGCGGGGUAACGGCCCACCAAGGCGACGAUCAGUAGCCGACCUGAGAGGGUGACCGGCCACAUUGGGACUGGGACACGGCCCAAACUCCUACGGGAGGCAGCAGUGGGGAAUAUUGCACAAUGGGGGAAACCCUGAUGCAGCGACGCCGCGUGAGUGAUGAAGUAUUUCGGUAUGUAAAGCUCUAUCAGCAGG
RNAcentral lists this ribosomal RNA (433 nucleotides) under uncultured bacterium. Its description in RNAcentral is "bacterial SSU rRNA". It matches the Rfam family "Bacterial small subunit ribosomal RNA", at positions 28 to 443 of the family's 1533-position model. The record is from RNAcentral.